UGGGGAAUAUUGCACAAUGGGGGAAACCCUGAUGCAGUGACGCCGCGUGAAGGAAGAAGGUUUUCGGAUCGUAAACUUCUAUCAGCAGGGAAGAAAAUGACGGUACCUGAAUAAGAAGCCCCGGCUAACUACGCGCCAGCAGCCGCGGUAAUACGUAGGGGGCAAUCUUUAUCAGGAAUUAGGGGGUGUAAAGGGUGCGUAGGCGGCAAUAUAAGUCAGGUGUAAAAGCCCAAAGCUCAACUUUGGGACUGCACUUGAAACUAUGUAGCUAGAGUACAGGAGAGGAAAGUGGAAUUCCUAGUGUAGCGGUGAAAUGUGUAGAUAUUAGGAAGAACACCAGUGGAGAAGGCGACUUUCUGGACUGUAACUGACGUUGAGGCAAGAAAGCGUGGGGAACGAACAGGAUUAGAUACCCUGGUAGUCCACGCCAUAAACGAUGAAUGAUAGGUGUCGGCUCUUAAAGGGUCGGUGCCGAAGUUAACACAUUAAGCAUUCCACCCUGGGAGU
This 507-nucleotide ribosomal RNA is filed under the name uncultured Bacillota bacterium. RNAcentral's name for it is "bacterial SSU rRNA". It matches the Rfam family "Bacterial small subunit ribosomal RNA", at positions 355 to 881 of the family's 1533-position model. The record is from RNAcentral. Lineage: Bacteria; Bacillati; Bacillota.